UGCAGUGUCAGUUGGAGCAGAGAGGAUCGAUGUGUGGCUUUAUGUUUUGGGAUUGCUGAGUUUUUUUUGAUUCUUUAUGUGCUUUGCUUUAGACUUGUUUCCCUUAGUUUUCUUUUAUUGCUAAACAUUUAAAGUGAAUCAGUGUUUUUGGAAAAGGAGUUACACAAGUAUUCAGGUCCAGUCUCACCUUCUCAGCAGCUUUUCAUUUGUUCCUGAAGUUGCUAAAAUUUGCCAACAAAAAUUCAUCUACAGAAGAAUCUCUACAUGGAGCAUGGCGUCAAGGAUGGAGAGGUUUAAAGUUAACAAAUAUGGAUCCAGACACGGAGCACCUCACAAGGAAGGCGCACACCCUCAUCAAGAGCUGCUCUAUGGCCACAGAAUCUGGUCAGAAGAGAUUUUCCAGUGCCUACUCCCCUGGGUUCAGGAGGGUGAAGUGGAACAGGUACAUCCUAAUGCAGUUUAUGAACACAUGACUGGUUAUCAUGUCUUCAACUCGCACUGAGCUGACAUCAGUGUGGUUGUUGAUCCUGCAAAACAGGAUGGUUUAAAC
This 550-nucleotide long non-coding RNA is filed under the name Oreochromis niloticus (Nile tilapia). RNAcentral's name for it is "lncRNA (ENSONIG00000025989.2)". Lineage: Eukaryota; Metazoa; Chordata; Actinopteri; Cichliformes; Cichlidae. The record is from RNAcentral.